RNAcentral lists this ribosomal RNA (492 nucleotides) under uncultured bacterium. Its description in RNAcentral is "partial 16S ribosomal RNA". It matches the Rfam family "Bacterial small subunit ribosomal RNA", at positions 29 to 507 of the family's 1533-position model. The record is from RNAcentral.
AGUGAACGCUGGCGGUAGGCCUAACACAUGCAAGUCGAACGGCAGCACAGUAAGAGCUUGCUCUUACGGGUGGCGAGUGGCGGACGGGUGAGGUAUACAUCGGAAUCUACUUUUUCGUGGGGGAUAACGUAGGGAAACUUACGCUAAUACCGCAUACGACCUACGGGUGAAAGCAGGGGAUCUUCGGACCUUGCGCGAUUGAAUGAGCCGAUGUCGGAUUAGCUAGUUGGCGGGGUAAAGGCCCACCAAGGCGACGAUCCGUAGCUGGUCUGGGAGGAUGAUCAGCCACACUGGAACUGAGACACGGUCCAGACUCCUACGGGAGGCAGCAGUGGGGAAUAUUGGACAAUGGGCGCGAGCCUGAUCCAGCCAUACCGCGUAGGUGAAGAAGGCGUUCGGGUUGUAAAGCCCUUUUGUUGGGAGAGAAAAGCAGCAGGUUAAUACCCCGCUGUUCUGACGGUACCCAAAGAAUAAGCACCGGCUAACUUCGUG